GACGAACGCUGGCGGCGUGCUUAACACAUGCAAGUCGAACGGAAAGGCCCUGCUUUUGUGGGUUGCUCGAGUGGCGAACGGGGGAGUAACACGUGAGUAACCUGCCCUUGACUUUGGGAUAACUUCAGGAAACUGGGGCUAAUACCGCAUAGGAGCUCCUGCUGCAUGGUGGGGGUUGGAAAGUUUCGGCGGUUGGGGAUGGACUCGCGGCUUAUCAGCUUGUUGGUGGGGUAGUUGCUUACCACGGCUUUGACGGGUAGCCGGCCUGAGAGGGUGAACGGGCACAUUGGCACUGCGAGACGGCGCAGAAGCCAACGGGCGGCAGUAGGCGGGAAUCUUGCACAGCGGGCGGACGCGUGAUGCGGAAACGCCGCGUGCGGAAUGACGGCCUUCGGGUUGUAAACCGCUUUCGCCUGUGACGAAGCGUGAGUGACGGUAAUGGGUAAAGAAGCACCGGCUAACUACGUG
RNAcentral lists this ribosomal RNA (468 nucleotides) under uncultured bacterium. RNAcentral's name for it is "partial 16S ribosomal RNA". It matches the Rfam family "Bacterial small subunit ribosomal RNA", at positions 28 to 507 of the family's 1533-position model. The record is from RNAcentral.